This 4461-nucleotide long non-coding RNA is filed under the name Homo sapiens (human). Its description in RNAcentral is "HSALNT0105841". Lineage: Eukaryota; Metazoa; Chordata; Mammalia; Primates; Hominidae. The record is from RNAcentral.
AGGCGGAGCUUGCAGUGAGCCGAGAUCGUGCCAUUGCACAACAGCCUGGGCACUCCAGCCUGGGCAAAAAACAAACAAAAAAACAAAACACACACACACACCCACACACACACACACGGGUUCAGAAAUCACAGGAAUCACUGCCAUAUUCCAUUGACUAAAACAGUCCUGGGGGCAGCCCACAUUCAAAGGGAAUAGACUCUGCUUCCUGUUGGGGAGUGGCCAGUUCAUUUUGCAGAUGAGAAUGUGAGUGGGGAGAUAUUGUCGCAGUCAUCUUUUGAUAAUACCGCCUGUUGCAUCCACAUGUAUGAAAGGAGGGUGGGGAUGAAUUUCCCUGGGGCCAUCCUUAACCAACAAGGGUGGAAUUGGUGGAUAAAUGGUCCCUGUCCUUCAGAUGGACAAAUCUGAGGUGUAUUCUACAGGUUUUUCAGGGGAGGUCUAGUGGGAUUAAGCCCCAGUUGCCCACAGUUGAAACAGCUCUAAAAUGAACAUGUAUGACCUUUUCCUCUUUCCCCAUGUUUACCUCUACAUCCCUUUCUGCUACUUCUUCUGACCAUCUCCCAGUUCUAGCCUUAGGCCUUGUUUUCCUGGAAAAUCAAACCAAAACAUUUAUUACCUCAUUUGGAAAAGGCCCUUAAAUUGAGGCCUGUAAAAUAUUGCACCUGGCUCCCUGCUGUUGCGUAAUCCCACCCAGGAAUGGGUGUGAAAGGGCUUUAUGAACUGAGAGGCUGGGCCCGGUGUGCAGGGUUGCUGGGAGCAGAGUACUGCCCUGCAGAUUCAAGUGACUUGGCACAAGAUAAGGUGACUCACCAGGCCAACUCAGCCUGCCACAAGGGCCCUCAAGAUCAUCCACCUGGCCUUGUGGGGACUCGCCCUUCUGGAACAAGCCUUGCCCCCUGAUUUGGCCUCUGCCCCAGGAAGAGAGGGACUGAAUUACCAGUAGGAGGGGCCAGGCCUCUAGUUCAUUUACCCUCCAUUUAGUAAACAUGGAAAAGCUGGGCCCCUCUCCACACUGGGCUCCCAGGAAUCUGAAGGUGGACAAGCUACUCCCUGUGCCCUUUAGCGGCUCCCAGUCAGGGGAGGAGGCAUAAGACCAGGAGGCAGGGAGCUGGAACAACAUCAGAACAGCUCGGUGGGAGAGAGGCAGCUUACUGAGGAAGGGGCUCUGGAACACAGAGGAGGAGCACCUGGCCCAGAAUCCGGGAGGGCUACAGGUAAUUGUGGAAGUCUUCCCAGAGAAGGUGAUAUCCAUAUCUAAUCCCACUAGGUCUCAGGACUUACCCAGGAGAGAGAGAGGAAGGGCAUCAGGGCAGAGGAAACAGCAACGGCAAAGUGGCUGGAGCCCAGAGAGGUGGGAAAGGAGAGGAGGCUGAAGAGAGAGGUGGGGCGGGGGGGAGGGGGUGGAAGAGCAAUGGGGAGCCCCUGAGGAGUUUAAAACAGAAAAGAAAUGGGUCAGGUUUGAGUUUAGGUUGCUGGCUACAGUAAUGGCCAGGUAGAAAGGGAGUCAGUAUUAGAGGCAGGGAGACCAGCAGAUGGGGCUCAUUCAUUCAUUCAACAAAUAUCUGUGGACCCCCUACCAGGUGCCAGGCCCUACGCUGUUGUGGGAGAUCCAGGUGAGGGGCCAGGUGGCCUGGACCCUGGUGAUGGGGCCAUGAUGGAUAGACGGGACAGAGAUCUUAGGGAGGGGUUUUCACUGUGAAAUACAUCCUGACAAUUCACGAGUUGUCAUUGGUUCCUGGACCAGUUGUGCAUGAAUUUGGAAACCGGGAACCUGUUAUUUCAAGAAUGGAGAGAUGAAUGGCAGAGCUGAGACCAAACCUCAGGGGCCUCAUUUCUGGAGGCCCCACCCAGAGCUGUGCAGCCCAGCUUGCCUGUCCCUCCCCACCACUCUACCCCAGACUUAUGAGAGCUUCAGAUGCAAUGGUGGCUGCUGAUUACCUUGCCUGGCUCUUUCCAGUCAGGAGGUGAAACCCAAACAUCCUGGUUUCUCUUCAUCACCUCUGGCAGGGAGCUAAAUGUCUCCUCCAGGAUCAUGCAGGAGAUAAGAAGCCCAGCUGGGACCCUGAGGGUCUUUCUGUGCUCUCCUCCUUGUCAGAUUAGACUCCUUGAAGGGAGACGCUGUCUCUCACCUCCAUCAGACUCUGGGUUCUCUGAAGAUGUCUCCCCUGUCAGAUCAGAAACUUAGAGGGUAGAAUGAGGAAUGAGAAUGCAAGUCAGGGAAGCUGCUUUGCUGCCAGUUAAUAGUUGUUUCAGCUUGGAAAAAAUCCUAUAUUUGCCUCAAUUUCCUCAUUGUAAAAUGAGGAUAAUGAUACAUAGGUGCUCAGUAAACAUUAGUGGAACAAAUAAUGGAGAGCCCAGGUGGUGCUGGUGGAGAGCAGGUGCUGGUUUACUAGGACAGCGGAGAAGCCUGCUGGGAAUGGAGCCCUGGGGCCUAUGAAAGGAGGAGUGCUGCCUCCACGAGGACCCCAGCAAGUCGCCAGAUCUCACCAAUCCAAUUAUCUCUGCCUUGCAUUAGAAAUACAGCAAUGACGGCCGGGCACGGUGGCUCACGCCUGUAAUCCCAGCACUUUGGGAGGCCGAGGUGGGCGGAUCACCUGAGGUCAGGUGUUCAAGACUAGCCUGGCUAACAUAGUGAAACCCUGUCUCUAUUGAAAAAUACAAAAUUUAGCUGGGCGUGGUGGCUCACACUUGUAGUCCCAGCUACUCGGGAGCUAAGGCAGGAGAAUCACUUGAACCGGGAGGUGGAGGUUGCAGUGAGCUGAGAUCAUGCCACUGCACUCCAGCCUGGGGAAGAGUGAAACUCGGUCUCAAAAAACAACAACAAAACAUCAAUGACUUCAACAGAAGGAUUUCCCUGCUAGUGUUAUCUCCAGUGACUUCCCACCCAUCUGCCACUCCUCCGCCACUCGCCAGCCUCCUCCACCGGCCCCACUCCCAUCCACCCUAUAGCUCCCCGGACUGUGAUGGAAUGUUCCCCAUGCCUCCACAUGGUACCCCUCCCCUGCUCAUGACCCCUGGGGAACUUGAGGCCUCCUGGGCCCCACCCUUUGCUCUAGCUGCUGCCCUACCUCCCAUCUCUUACUCAGAAAGCUCCAGACUAACCCUGGCCACAGUGACCCAAGGCCACACCUCCACCCAAUCUUGGGUCUGUGCUUUAUCAUCUGUGAACACAGUUCUGCAAAACUGUGCCUCAGUCCAGCUGGGUGCCCUUAGGAAGUCAUGCUCCCCAAGCUCUCGUCUCAACUGUAGAUGGGCCAAAUAACCUGGGCUAUGUUUGUCAAUGGGGUUUGUGAACAGGCCAAGUGCUGAAUAAAGGUGGGGCUUACAGUGUUAUGGAACUGUUAUUGCCUUGAGGCUGAAUGUGAUUAAAGCAAAACCGGAGAACCUUGGACCUGUGUGUGAUGGCAGGAGAGGGGUCGGGGGGAGCAGAAAGAGGGCAAGAGGGAGUGAUGUUGGCAGAGGGAGGGAUGGUGUCGUUGCAGAAUUGGCUGGUAAAUACAUAUAAUCCUUUGUAAACACAUCCAUGCCCUCAUGAAAAAUGUGGUUCACUCCGGAAAUCAUACUUUUUUUUUUUUUUCCAAUGAACUCAGAAAUCAUCCUUUCUGGUGCUGAGCCCUGAAAUGGUCAUAGAAGGGGCCAGUCCCCAAACAGCUGAAGCCUGACAAAGCCUCCCUUUAGACAGAUGGAGACAGAUGCCCGGCUGAGCCUGGCUCCAUUCUUCCUUCACAUUCUUUCCAGUCCACAGUGCCCACGCUCAGGCUCUACAUUUCCUGCCCACCCCUUGAGUUGAGAAGGCUUGAGCUUCGCUCAAGUUCUCUGGUCCACCUACCUGGAGACAGGAGCCCUUUCCAGAGAUGUUGGGUGUGCCACAAAACCACAGGUAGUCUUUUUCAUCUCAUCACAGUGGUAGAGGGGACAGGAGCUGGGCUGCCUGGGUUUGAAUCUAGUCUCACCAUUUUUACUGAGAUUUUGCACAAGGCAACUUCUCUGUGCCUGUUUCCUCGUCUAUAAAAUGGAGAUGUACUGAUGCCCUCUCAGGGUUCUUGCCAGGUCAAAUGAGUCCACUCACGUAUUAUUCAGUGCAAGCAUUUAGUGCCUGACAAAGUGGUGAGUGACAUGCGUUUGCCAUGAUCACCCCGCCUCUCCCCUUGCUCCUCCCACUCCUUCCUGAUUCUCAAACCUCUACUGCAAUGUUCCUCCCGCGUCCUUACCUCCCCACAGAGGCCUGCCUCUCCCCGCUCUCUUCAUCUCUUUUCAUUCUUUUCUCCCCUCCAGACCAUCCAAUCCUCUUAUCAGUCUGUCCUGAGUCCUCUCUAUCUUCUGUGGAUGCGCCCAGGCUCCCCUGCUGCUCAGAGGCCAGAAGCCAACCCCUCUCUAACCUGACCCACACACAGCACACACCAAGCUGGCCUGUCCACCUCAUGUUUUAUUGUAAAAAUGUUAAAAUAAAUUACAUUUGAC